This is a non-coding RNA of Corchorus olitorius, 46 nucleotides long. The record is from Rfam. NCBI's taxonomy places the organism in Eukaryota, Viridiplantae, Streptophyta, Magnoliopsida, Malvales, Malvaceae.
UGAAAGGAUUUUUUCAAAUCCAUAAGUAGCUAAAUUCUUAAUAUUU